This 253-nucleotide ribosomal RNA is filed under the name uncultured prokaryote. RNAcentral's name for it is "partial 16S ribosomal RNA". It matches the Rfam family "Bacterial small subunit ribosomal RNA", at positions 524 to 776 of the family's 1533-position model. The record is from RNAcentral.
UACGUAGGUGGCAAGCGUUAUCCGGAAUCACUGGGUUUAAAGGGUGCGCAGGUGGGUGUUUAAGUGAGUGGUGAAAGCUCCCGGCUUAACCGGGAAAUUGCCAUUCAUACUGGAUACCUUGAGUACAGUUGAGGUGGGCGGAAUGUGUCAUGUAGCGGUGAAAUGCUUAGAUAUGACACAGAACACCGAUUGCGAAGGCAGCUCGCUAAACUGUAACUGACACUGAGGCACGAAAGCGUGGGGAUCAAACAGG